AAUAACAUCCCCAUUUAGGCUCAUAGGUUUUAAAAAAGAUCCCAGCUACUUCACUACUGGAAUACUGUGGGGGGUAUUUUUAGAUUAAUUUUGGUCACUUGUUUUAGAUUUUUAUGUUGGGGGAAAGAGGGAGAAAAUCAAAAUAAGGUAAAGUAUGAGAAAAA
Long non-coding RNA from Sinocyclocheilus anshuiensis, 164 nucleotides. RefSeq lists it as uncharacterized. The record is from RefSeq and is a predicted model, not a curated record. The transcript is spliced from 2 exons. NCBI's taxonomy places the organism in Eukaryota, Metazoa, Chordata, Actinopteri, Cypriniformes, Cyprinidae.